UACGUAGGGAGCAAGCGUUGUCCGGAAUCAUUGGGCGUAAAGCGCGCGUAGGCGGCCCUGUAAGUCCGUUGUGAAAGUCAAAGGCUCAACCUUUGAAAGCCGAUGGAUACUGCAGGGCUGGAGUCCGGAAGAGGCGAGUGGAAUUCCUGGUGUAGCGGUGGAAUGCGCAGAUAUCAGGAGGAACACCCGUAGCGAAGGCGGCACUCUGGGCCGGAACUGACGCUGAGGAGCGAAAGCGUGGGGAGCAAACAGG
Molecule: ribosomal RNA, 253 nt
Filed under: uncultured bacterium
Lineage: Bacteria
Description: partial 16S ribosomal RNA
Rfam family: Bacterial small subunit ribosomal RNA
Source: RNAcentral